AACCACCAAACAGACUUUACAUCACAUCUCAACCUUUUUCCAUAAAACAAGGGUCCAUGUUUUAAGGAGAAGUACAAGUCUAGUCAAAGACUUUUAAGUCUUGAAAUUUGAAUUGAAAAAGGAGCUCCAAAGACUAGUUUGUAUUACCCUAAAUUGAACAAUUUCCACCAAAGUCCAAAUUGUGAAUUAAAAUUUGUCAAGAACCAAACCACUAGUGGACUGCCA
RNAcentral lists this long non-coding RNA (225 nucleotides) under Capsicum annuum. RNAcentral's name for it is "long non-coding RNA (CANN_LNC017464)". The record is from RNAcentral. Lineage: Eukaryota; Viridiplantae; Streptophyta; Magnoliopsida; Solanales; Solanaceae.